ACUACGGGAGGCAGCAGUGGGGAAUAUUGCACAAUGGGGGAAACCCUGAUGCAGCGACGCCGCGUGAGUGAAGAAGUAUUUCGGUAUGUAAAGCUCUAUCAGCAGGGAAGAAAAUGACGGUACCUGAUUAAGAAGCCCCGGCUAACUACGGGCCAGCAGCCGCGGGAAGACGUAGGGGGCAAGCGUUAUCCGGGUUUACUGGGUGGAAAGGGAGCGUAGACGGCCGCACAAGGCUGGAGUGAAAUGCCGGGGCUUAACCCCGGAACUUCUUUGGAAACUGUGCAGCUAGAGGGCAGGGGGGGUAAGUCGAAUUCCUAGUGUCGCGGUGAAAUGCGUAGAUAUUAGGAGGAACCCCAGUGGCGAAGGCGGCUUACUGGACUGUACCUGACGUUGAGUCUCGAAAGCGUGGGGAGCAAACAGGAUUAGAUACCCUUGUAGUC
Molecule: ribosomal RNA, 440 nt
Filed under: uncultured bacterium
Lineage: Bacteria
Description: partial 16S ribosomal RNA
Rfam family: Bacterial small subunit ribosomal RNA
Source: RNAcentral